Molecule: small RNA, 27 nt
Filed under: Bombyx mori (domestic silkworm)
Lineage: Eukaryota; Metazoa; Arthropoda; Insecta; Lepidoptera; Bombycidae
Description: ovarian small RNA-18273
Source: RNAcentral
UAAAGAAUACUAUUUAUUGACACAUGC